RNAcentral lists this long non-coding RNA (562 nucleotides) under Pongo abelii (Sumatran orangutan). RNAcentral's name for it is "lincRNA". The record is from RNAcentral. Lineage: Eukaryota; Metazoa; Chordata; Mammalia; Primates; Hominidae.
AGCAUAAUGUUGUUUGACUGAUACAUGAAGUCUCCAUACGAUUUUGAGGUGGUGAAAGUUCUAUUCCUGAUGACCCCAAAUUCCUGCCCUAUCACCUGUUCUUCCUCUACGCCACACUUGUGCCUUGAAGAAUGAAAUGUAGCGAUUGCCUUGGCCCUUAUAUGGGGGCUGGAAAAUGAAAACCACUGAAGGCUGAAACAGGUCAGGGAAGGAAGGGAACCAAAAGCAGGAUGCGCUGCAGGCUGACCAGCUGUUACAGGGAAGAUUAGAAGGUCAGAUCAAGUGCUCAGUUGGUUCUUCCUCCCUGUGUCCCCCAAACCAUCCAGGAGCAGGGGCUUGAAAGAUUUACAACACUUUACACUACUUCAACAGCUAUUUUAGUCCUUAGAUUUUAUUGCCCCAACCAUGGUAUCCUUGGGAACAGACUGAAUCUGGAUCCAGAAGUGGCUGGUGAGGGAGAAGGUAGACAAGGUAGACCAAAAGCAACUAAGUUAGGAAAGCAUUUCAAGGAUAGAGAGAUCAACUGGACCAAAUGACACUGAGAGAUUAAGAAAAGAUGUAA